RNAcentral lists this transfer RNA (87 nucleotides) under Morganella morganii. RNAcentral's name for it is "tRNA-Leu". It matches the Rfam family "tRNA". Rfam says of the family: Transfer RNA (tRNA) molecules are approximately 80 nucleotides in length. Their secondary structure includes four short double-helical elements and three loops (D, anti-codon, and T loops). The record is from RNAcentral. Lineage: Bacteria; Pseudomonadati; Pseudomonadota; Gammaproteobacteria; Enterobacterales; Morganellaceae. RNAcentral also lists the same sequence under 7 other names.
GCCAGUGUGGUGAAAUCGGUAGACACAGUGGAUUCAAAAUCCACCGCCCUUAAAAGCGUGCCAGUUCGAGUCUGGCCACUGGUACCA